Molecule: ribosomal RNA, 460 nt
Filed under: uncultured bacterium
Lineage: Bacteria
Description: bacterial SSU rRNA
Rfam family: Bacterial small subunit ribosomal RNA
Source: RNAcentral
GACGAACGCUGGCGGCGUGCUUAAUACAUGCAAGUCAACUUGACUUUAGAUAGCAAUAUCGAAAGUAGGGUGGCGCACGGGUGCGUAACGCGUAGGUAAUCUGCCCUGAGGUCUGACAUAACCCGUCGAAAGGCGGGCUAACAUCAGAUGAUAUAUAAUCACGACAUCGUGGAAAUAUCAAAUCUUCGGAGCCUUGGGAUGAGCCUGCGUCUGAUUAGGUAGUUGGCGGAGUAAUAGCCCACCAAGCCUACGAUCAGUAGCUGGUCUGAGAGGAUGAUCAGCCACACUGGAACUGAGACACGGUCCAGACUCCUACGGGAGGCAGCAGUAAGGAAUAUUGCUCAAUGGGGGAAACCCUGAAGCAGCAACGCCGCGUGAAGGAUGAAAUACUUUGUAUGUAAACUUCUGUAAGAUGGGAAAAUAUUCUCCUCGGGAGAAUUGAUUGUACCAUCAGAGUAAG